RNAcentral lists this ribosomal RNA (498 nucleotides) under uncultured Lachnospiraceae bacterium. Its description in RNAcentral is "bacterial SSU rRNA". It matches the Rfam family "Bacterial small subunit ribosomal RNA", at positions 29 to 507 of the family's 1533-position model. The record is from RNAcentral. Lineage: Bacteria; Bacillati; Bacillota; Clostridia; Lachnospirales; Lachnospiraceae.
AUGAACGCUGGCGGCGUGCUUAACACAUGCAAGUCGAACGGACUCGUAUUGAAACCUAGUGAUAUAUGAGUUAGUGGCGGACGGGUGAGUAACGCGUGGAUAACCUGCCGUAUACAGGGGGAUAACACUUAGAAAUAGGUGCUAAUACCGCAUAAGCGCACAGCUUUGCAUGAAGCAGUGUGAAAAGCAAAAGUUAAAACUUUUGACGGUAUACGAUGGAUCCGCGUCUGAUUAGCCAGUUGGCGGGGUAACGGCCCACCAAAGCGACGAUCAGUAGCCGGCCUGAGAGGGCGGACGGCCACAUUGGGACUGAGACACGGCCCAGACUCCUACGGGAGGCAGCAGUGGGGAAUAUUGCACAAUGGGGGAAAUCCUGAUGCAGCGACGCCGCGUGAGUGAAGAAGUAAUUCGUUACGUAAAGCUCUAUCAGCAGGGAAGAAAUACUGACCUUACGGUCAGCAGACGGUACCUGAGUAAGAAGCCCCGGCUAACUACGUG